RNAcentral lists this ribosomal RNA (435 nucleotides) under uncultured Mogibacterium sp. Its description in RNAcentral is "partial 16S ribosomal RNA". It matches the Rfam family "Bacterial small subunit ribosomal RNA", at positions 341 to 792 of the family's 1533-position model. Lineage: Bacteria; Bacillati; Bacillota; Clostridia; Peptostreptococcales; Anaerovoracaceae. The record is from RNAcentral.
ACGGAAGGCAGCAGUAAGGAAUCUUGCACAAUGGGGGAAACCCUGAUGCAGCAACGCCGCGUGAUUGAUGAAGGCCUUCGGGUUGUAAAAAUCUGAUCUAAGGGAAGAAACAAAUGACGGUACCUUAGGAGAAAGCCCCGGCUAACUACGUGCCAGCAGCCGCGGUAAUACGUAGGGGGCAAGCGUUAUCCGGAAUUAUUGGGCGUAAAGAGUGCGUAGGUGGUUACCUAGCGCAAGGUUUAAUCUUGAGGCUCAACCUCAUUCUGCCUUGCGAACUGGGCUACUUGAGUGCAGGAGGGGAAAGCGGAAUUCCUAGUGUAGCGGUGAAAUGCGUAGAUAUUAGGAAGAACACCGGUGGCGAAGGCGGCUUUCUGGACUGUAACUGACACUGAGGCACGAAAGCGUGGGGAGCAAACAGGAUUAGAUACCCUGGUA